RNAcentral lists this ribosomal RNA (2757 nucleotides) under Escherichia coli. RNAcentral describes it as "partial 23S ribosomal RNA". It matches the Rfam family "Bacterial large subunit ribosomal RNA". Lineage: Bacteria; Pseudomonadati; Pseudomonadota; Gammaproteobacteria; Enterobacterales; Enterobacteriaceae. The record is from RNAcentral.
CGUCACACUAUCAUUAACUGAAUCCAUAGGUUAAUGAGGCGAACCGGGGGAACUGAAACAUCUAAGUACCCCGAGGAAAAGAAAUCAACCGAGAUUCCCCCAGUAGCGGCGAGCGAACGGGGAGGAGCCCAGAGCCUGAAUCAGUGUGUGUGUUAGUGGAAGCGUCUGGAAAGGCGCGCGAUACAGGGUGACAGCCCCGUACACAAAAAUGCACAUGCUGUGAGCUCGAUGAGUAGGGCGGGACACGUGGUAUCCUGUCUGAAUAUGGGGGGACCAUCCUCCAAGGCUAAAUACUCCUGACUGACCGAUAGUGAACCAGUACCGUGAGGGAAAGGCGAAAAGAACCCCGGCGAGGGGAGUGAAAAAGAACCUGAAACCGUGUACGUACAAGCAGUGGGAGCACAGAGCAAUCUGUGUGACUGCGUACCUUUUGUAUAAUGGGUCAGCGACUUAUAUUCUGUAGCAAGGUUAACCGAAUAGGGGAGCCGAAGGGAAACCGAGUCUUAACUGGGCGUUAAGUUGCAGGGUAUAGACCCGAAACCCGGUGAUCUAGCCAUGGGCAGGUUGAAGGUUGGGUAACACUAACUGGAGGACCGAACCGACUAAUGUUGAAAAAUUAGCGGAUGACUUGUGGCUGGGGGUGAAAGGCCAAUCAAACCGGGAGAUAGCUGGUUCUCCCCGAAAGCUAUUUAGGUAGCGCCUCGUGAAUUCAUCUCCGGGGGUAGAGCACUGUUUCGGCAAGGGGGUCAUCCCGACUUACCAACCCGAUGCAAACUGCGAAUACCGGAGAAUGUUAUCACGGGAGACACACGGCGGGUGCUAACGUCCGUCGUGAAGAGGGAAACAACCCAGACCGCCAGCUAAGGUCCCAAAGUCAUGGUUAAGUGGGAAACGAUGUGGGAAGGCCCAGACAGCCAGGAUGUUGGCUUAGAAGCAGCCAUCAUUUAAAGAAAGCGUAAUAGCUCACUGGUCGAGUCGGCCUGCGCGGAAGAUGUAACGGGGCUAAACCAUGCACCGAAGCUGCGGCAGCGACACUAUGUGUUGUUGGGUAGGGGAGCGUUCUGUAAGCCUGUGAAGGUGUGCUGUGAGGCAUGCUGGAGGUAUCAGAAGUGCGAAUGCUGACAUAAGUAACGAUAAAGCGGGUGAAAAGCCCGCUCGCCGGAAGACCAAGGGUUCCUGUCCAACGUUAAUCGGGGCAGGGUGAGUCGACCCCUAAGGCGAGGCCGAAAGGCGUAGUCGAUGGGAAACAGGUUAAUAUUCCUGUACUUGGUGUUACUGCGAAGGGGGGACGGAGAAGGCUAUGUUGGCCGGGCGACGGUUGUCCCGGUUUAAGCGUGUAGGCUGGUUUUCCAGGCAAAUCCGGAAAAUCAAGGCUGAGGCGUGAUGACGAGGCACUACGGUGCUGAAGCAACAAAUGCCCUGCUUCCAGGAAAAGCCUCUAAGCAUCAGGUAACAUCAAAUCGUACCCCAAACCGACACAGGUGGUCAGGUAGAGAAUACCAAGGCGCUUGAGAGAACUCGGGUGAAGGAACUAGGCAAAAUGGUGCCGUAACUUCGGGAGAAGGCACGCUGAUAUGUAGGUGAAGCGACUUGCUCGUGGAGCUGAAAUCAGUCGAAGAUACCAGCUGGCUGCAACUGUUUAUUAAAAACACAGCACUGUGCAAACACGAAAGUGGACGUAUACGGUGUGACGCCUGCCCGGUGCCGGAAGGUUAAUUGAUGGGGUCAGCGCAAGCGAAGCUCUUGAUCGAAGCCCCGGUAAACGGCGGCCGUAACUAUAACGGUCCUAAGGUAGCGAAAUUCCUUGUCGGGUAAGUUCCGACCUGCACGAAUGGCGUAAUGAUGGCCAGGCUGUCUCCACCCGAGACUCAGUGAAAUUGAACUCGCUGUGAAGAUGCAGUGUACCCGCGGCAAGACGGAAAGACCCCGUGAACCUUUACUAUAGCUUGACACUGAACAUUGAGCCUUGAUGUGUAGGAUAGGUGGGAGGCUUUGAAGUGUGGACGCCAGUCUGCAUGGAGCCGACCUUGAAAUACCACCCUUUAAUGUUUGAUGUUCUAACGUUGACCCGUAAUCCGGGUUGCGGACAGUGUCUGGUGGGUAGUUUGACUGGGGCGGUCUCCUCCUAAAGAGUAACGGAGGAGCACGAAGGUUGGCUAAUCCUGGUCGGACAUCAGGAGGUUAGUGCAAUGGCAUAAGCCAGCUUGACUGCGAGCGUGACGGCGCGAGCAGGUGCGAAAGCAGGUCAUAGUGAUCCGGUGGUUCUGAAUGGAAGGGCCAUCGCUCAACGGAUAAAAGGUACUCCGGGGAUAACAGGCUGAUACCGCCCAAGAGUUCAUAUCGACGGCGGUGUUUGGCACCUCGAUGUCGGCUCAUCACAUCCUGGGGCUGAAGUAGGUCCCAAGGGUAUGGCUGUUCGCCAUUUAAAGUGGUACGCGAGCUGGGUUUAGAACGUCGUGAGACAGUUCGGUCCCUAUCUGCCGUGGGCGCUGGAGAACUGAGGGGGGCUGCUCCUAGUACGAGAGGACCGGAGUGGACGCAUCACUGGUGUUCGGGUUGUCAUGCCAAUGGCACUGCCCGGUAGCUAAAUGCGGAAGAGAUAAGUGCUGAAAGCAUCUAAGCACGAAACUUGCCCCGAGAUGAGUUCUCCCUGACUCCUUGAGAGUCCUGAAGGAACGUUGAAGACGACGACGUUGAUAGGCCGGGUGUGUAAGCGCAGCGAUGCGUUGAGCUAACCGGUACUAAUGAACCGUGAGG